CCUACGGGUGGCAGCAGUGGGGAAUAUUGCACAAUGGGCGAAAGCCUGAUGCGGCAACGCCGCGUGAAGGAAGAAGGGUUUCGGCUCGUAAACUUCUAUUAACAGGGACGAAAGAAAUGACGGUAACUGAAUAAGAAGCACCGGCUAACUACGUGCCAGCAGCCGCGGUAAUACGUAGGGGGCAAGCGUUAUCCGGAAAUGCUGGGUGGAAAGGAUGAGUAGGGGGCAUGGUAAGCCAGAUGUGAAAGCCGUGGAGUUAAACCGAGGAUGGCAUUUGGAACUAUCAAGCUAGAGUACAGGAGAGGAAAGCGGAAUUCCUAGUGUAGCGGUGAAAUGCGUAGAUAUUAGGAAGAACACCAGUGGCGAAGGCGACUUUCUGGACUGAAACUGACGCUGAGGCACGAAAGCGUGGGGAGCGAACAGGAUUAGAUACCCGAGUAGUC
RNAcentral lists this ribosomal RNA (443 nucleotides) under uncultured bacterium. RNAcentral describes it as "partial 16S ribosomal RNA". It matches the Rfam family "Bacterial small subunit ribosomal RNA", at positions 338 to 795 of the family's 1533-position model. The record is from RNAcentral.